UACACGCAUGACACACUGCAUAUCAAUAAGCGGAGGAAAAGAAACUAACUAGGAUUCCCUCAGUAACGGCGAGUGAAGCGGGAAGAGCUCAAAUUUGAAAUCUUCAAGGGUUCUACCUUGACGAAUUGUGGUUUAAAGAAGUGUUUUCUGUUGGAGUUUCGGUAAAAGUUCUUUGGAAUAGGACAUCAUAGAGGGUGAGAAUCCCGUAUUUGACCGUUACUUUCCAGCUGUGUGAUACACUUUCAAAGAGUCGGAUUGUUUGGGGAAUGCAGUCCAAAAUGGGUGGUAAAUUUCAUCUAAAGCUAAAUAUUGGCGAGAGACCGAUAGCGAACAAGUACCGUGAGGGAAAGAUGAAAAGAACUUUGAAAAGAGAGUUAAACAGUACGUGAAAUUGUCAAAAGGGAAGCGUUUGACACCAGUGUUGUUUAGUUGAAAAUCAAUUCAAUAAUUUUUGAUUUUGAGUAGUAUUGACUUCAUCAGCUUGCUGCUUUCUUUUCGGAAAUUAUUGAAUGCACUUUUCAGUUAACAAGUCAACAUCAAUUUCUUUUGUUGUAAAAGGGUAAGAGGAAGGUGGCUUACGCUUCGGCGUAAGUGUUUAUAGCCUUUUACCUCUGCAAUCGGAGAGAUUGAGGACAGCAGCGUAGACUCUUCGGGGUUAGAUACACUUGUGCUAAGCUAUAGCCUUGUAUAGACAACUUGUUGACUAUGCUCAGUCAUGUAGCUUACUCGCAUUGUGCUAUUUUACCUACGCUUAGGAUGUUGACUGAUAUGUAGUCGUA
RNAcentral lists this ribosomal RNA (779 nucleotides) under uncultured Neocallimastigales. Its description in RNAcentral is "partial large subunit ribosomal RNA". It matches the Rfam family "Eukaryotic large subunit ribosomal RNA", at positions 22 to 644 of the family's 3401-position model. The record is from RNAcentral. Lineage: Eukaryota; Fungi; Neocallimastigomycota; Neocallimastigomycetes; Neocallimastigales.